GGAGAGUGACGGGCAGGGUCUGCUCAGGACCGAGCAGAGGGUGUGACUGGGCCUUGGGGGCGAGCCUGACCUUGAAGGCUCUCCAGAAUCCAGCAUCAGAGGACUGUCUGACUCUUCUCACCUGUCCCCCUCUUUGAGGAACCCAGAAUCUCUGGGGCAGGGAUGAUGCUGAGCAAGCAUAGGCUGUGAAGCUGUGGCCUAGUGGAGGCUCUGGGGAUGGACCAGCCCUGGACACGUUGGAGUGAUGUGUUGGCACUUGACUCGGCCUGUGUACAGCUGUCCCCAUGACCUGGAGGCUUAGCCCUGAUCUCCUAGACCAAGAGUAGGAGGCCAGCGCUGACCCCUGCUCAUCGACUUCUCACCACCCAGGUAUAGUGCAAGACACUGGAGAAGCAAAUGACUGAAGUCCUGCCUAGUGGCAGCCCAAACUGACUAAGAUAUGAAGGAGGAGCAGGAUUGCCAAUAAGAACGUGAAAGUGAGAAGGUUCUGGGCGGAGAGAGCAGCAUGUGUCAAGGCCCAGAGUGGGACUGUUUCUGCUCACGGUGUCCAAGGACUCGACAGAAGAUCAAUGAAGAGACUGAGACCAGAGAGAUUAAGUAAUCAUCC
Long non-coding RNA from Bos taurus (domestic cattle), 607 nucleotides. NCBI's taxonomy places the organism in Eukaryota, Metazoa, Chordata, Mammalia, Artiodactyla, Bovidae. The record is from Ensembl.